Molecule: non-coding RNA, 32 nt
Filed under: Plasmodium falciparum 3D7
Lineage: Eukaryota; Apicomplexa; Aconoidasida; Haemosporida; Plasmodiidae
Source: RNAcentral
AUCUACUAUUUCUUCGUCCAUUGGUUUUGUUU